GACGAACGCUGGCGGCGUGCUUAACACAUGCAAGUCGAACGGAAAGGCCCUUUCGGGGGUACGUCGAGUGGCGAACGGGUAGGAGUAACACGUGGGUGGAUCUGCCCUCGCACUUCGGGUAGUAAGACCUCGGGAAACGUAGGGUCGUAAUACCGGAGUAUGACUACGGGUCGGCAUGGUCUGUGGUGGAAAGACUUUUGUCGGUGUGGGAGU
RNAcentral lists this ribosomal RNA (213 nucleotides) under uncultured bacterium. RNAcentral describes it as "partial 16S ribosomal RNA". It matches the Rfam family "Bacterial small subunit ribosomal RNA", at positions 28 to 227 of the family's 1533-position model. The record is from RNAcentral.